RNAcentral lists this ribosomal RNA (517 nucleotides) under uncultured bacterium. RNAcentral describes it as "bacterial SSU rRNA". It matches the Rfam family "Bacterial small subunit ribosomal RNA", at positions 9 to 526 of the family's 1533-position model. The record is from RNAcentral.
GAGUUUGAUCCUGGCUCAGGAUGAACGCUGGCGGCGUGCUUAACACAUGCAAGUCGAGCGAAGCACUUAAGUCUGAUUCUUCAGAUGAAGACUUUUGUGACUGAGCGGCGGACGGGUGAGUAACGCGUGGGUAACCUGCCUCAUACAGGGGGAUAACAGUUAGAAAUGGCUGCUAAUACCGCAUAAGCGCACGGUACUGCAUGGUACAGUGUGAAAAACUCCGGUGGUACAGGAUGGGCCCGCGUCUGAUUAGCUGGUUGGCAGGGUAACGGCCUACCAAGGCAACGAUCAGUAGCCGGUCUGAGAGGAUGAACGGCCACAUUGGAACUGAGACACGGUCCAAACUCCUACGGGAGGCAGCAGUGGGGAAUAUUGCACAAUGGGGGAAACCCUGAUGCAGCAACGCCGCGUGAGUGAAGAAGUAUUUCGGUAUGUAAAGCUCUAUCAGCAGGGAAGAUAAUGACGGUACCUGACUAAGAAGCUCCGGCUAAAUACGUGCCAGCCGCCGCGGUAAUAC